Molecule: ribosomal RNA, 253 nt
Filed under: uncultured bacterium
Lineage: Bacteria
Description: partial 16S ribosomal RNA
Rfam family: Bacterial small subunit ribosomal RNA
Source: RNAcentral
UACGGAGGGGGCUAGCGUUGUUCGGAAUUACUGGGCGUAAAGCGCGCGUAGGCGGACCUGCAAGUCGGGGGUGAAAGCCCGAGGCUCAACCUCGGAACUGCCUUCGAUACUGCGGGUCUCGAGUCCGGGAGAGGUGAGUGGAAUUCCUAGUGUAGAGGUGAAAUUCGUAGAUAUUAGGAAGAACACCAGUGGCGAAGGCGGCUCACUGGACCGGUAUUGACGCUGAGGUGCGAAAGCGUGGGGAGCAAACAGG